RNAcentral lists this ribosomal RNA (293 nucleotides) under Streptococcus dysgalactiae subsp. equisimilis. RNAcentral's name for it is "partial 16S ribosomal RNA". It matches the Rfam family "Bacterial small subunit ribosomal RNA", at positions 1 to 285 of the family's 1533-position model. The record is from RNAcentral. Lineage: Bacteria; Bacillati; Bacillota; Bacilli; Lactobacillales; Streptococcaceae.
UUAAUGAGAGUUUGAUCCUGGCUCAGGACGAACGCUGGCGGCGUGCCUAAUACAUGCAAGUAGAACGCUGAGGACUGGUGCUUGCACCGGUCCAAGGAGUUGCGAACGGGUGAGUAACGCGUAGGUAACCUACCUCAUAGCGGGGGAUAACUAUUGGAAACGAUAGCUAAUACCGCAUAAAAGUGUUUAACCCAUGUUAAACAUUUAAAAGGUGCAAUUGCAUCACUAUGAGAUGGACCUGCGUUGUAUUAGCUAGUUGGUGAGGUAACGGCUCACCAAGGCGACGAUACAUA